GGAGGGGUGCCGGAGCCCGGCUGAUCGGGCCCGUCUCGAAAACGGGUAGGGUGUAACAGCCCUCGUGGGUUCGAAUCCCACCCCCUCCG
RNAcentral lists this transfer RNA (89 nucleotides) under Chloroflexota bacterium. Its description in RNAcentral is "tRNA-Ser". It matches the Rfam family "tRNA". Rfam says of the family: Transfer RNA (tRNA) molecules are approximately 80 nucleotides in length. Their secondary structure includes four short double-helical elements and three loops (D, anti-codon, and T loops). Lineage: Bacteria; Bacillati; Chloroflexota. The record is from RNAcentral.